This 189-nucleotide antisense RNA is filed under the name Citrus sinensis (sweet orange). RNAcentral's name for it is "Antisense RNA which regulates isiA expression". It matches the Rfam family "Antisense RNA which regulates isiA expression". The record is from Rfam by way of RNAcentral. Lineage: Eukaryota; Viridiplantae; Streptophyta; Magnoliopsida; Sapindales; Rutaceae.
CUCAACCAAAACAAACACUUGGACUAAGCGUUGAGUUGGUAAUUUUUCUAACCUCUCUCCAUCCCUUGGAGCCCAGCUAUCAUACAGGUCUCUAAAAUAAAGUGUCUUAAAUAUUAGAAGAAAAAUAUUUAUACCUAGCAAGAUUAGGUGAAUACCCAAAAUUAUGAUAAUUUUAUUUUUAUUUUUUCA